This 251-nucleotide ribosomal RNA is filed under the name uncultured Lactobacillus sp. RNAcentral describes it as "partial 16S ribosomal RNA". It matches the Rfam family "Bacterial small subunit ribosomal RNA", at positions 112 to 355 of the family's 1533-position model. The record is from RNAcentral. Lineage: Bacteria; Bacillati; Bacillota; Bacilli; Lactobacillales; Lactobacillaceae.
AACACGUGGGGAACCUGCCCCAUAGUCUGGGAUACCACUUGGAAACAGGUGCUAAUACCGGAUAAGAAAGCGGAUCGCAUGAUCAGCUUUUAAAAGGCGGCGUAAGCUGUCGCUAUGGGAUGGCCCCGCGGUGCAUUAGCUAGUUGGUAAGGUAAAGGCUUACCAAGGCGAUGAUGCAUAGCCGAGUUGAGAGACUGAUCGGCCACAUUGGGACUGAGACACGGCCCAAACUCCUACGGGAGGCAGCAGUU